CCUACGGGUGGCAGCAGUGAGGAAUAUUGGUCAAUGGACGCAAGUCUGAACCAGCCAAGCCGCGUGCGGGAAGACGGCCCUAUGUGUUGUAAACCGCUUUUGUACGAGGACAAACCCUGGUACGCGUACCCGUCUGCAUGUACCUUACGAAUAAGCAUCGGCUAACUCCGUGCCAGCAGCCGCGGUAAUACGGAGGAUUCGAGCGUUAUCCGGAUUUAUUGGGUUUAAAGGGUGCGGAGGCGGUCGGUUAAGUUAGGGGGGAAAUCCCGGGGCUCAACCUCGGAAGUGCCUUUGAUACUGUAAGUCUAGAGAGGAGGUGAGGUAGGCGGAAUGAGGGGUGUAGCGGUGAAAUGCUUAGAGAUCGUACAGAACUCCGAGUGCGAAGGCAGCAUGCCGGG
Molecule: ribosomal RNA, 398 nt
Filed under: uncultured bacterium
Lineage: Bacteria
Description: partial 16S ribosomal RNA
Rfam family: Bacterial small subunit ribosomal RNA
Source: RNAcentral